AAGACCUUGCGCUUUUGGAGCGGCCGAUGCCUGAUUAGCUAGUUGGUGGGGUAAUGGCCUACCAAAGCUUCGAUCAGUAGUUGGUCUGAGAGGACGACCAGCCACACUGGGACUGAGACACGGCCCAGACUCCUACGGGAGGCAGCAGUGGGGAAUUUUGGACAAUGGGGGGAACCCUGAUCCAGCCAUGCCGCGUGAGUGAAGAAGGCCUUCGGGUUGUAAAGCUCUUUCAGUUGAGAAGAAAAAAUCACGACUAAUAAUUGUGAUUCAUGACGGUAUCAACAGAAGAAGCACCGGCUAACUACGUGCCAGCAGCCGCGGUAAUACGUAGGGUGCAAGCGUUAAUCGGAAUUACUGGGCGUAAAGGGUGCGCAGGCGGUUUUGUAAGUCAGAUGUGAAAUCCCCGGGCUCAACCUGGGAACU
RNAcentral lists this ribosomal RNA (423 nucleotides) under uncultured bacterium. Its description in RNAcentral is "bacterial SSU rRNA". It matches the Rfam family "Bacterial small subunit ribosomal RNA", at positions 207 to 622 of the family's 1533-position model. The record is from RNAcentral.